Molecule: long non-coding RNA, 272 nt
Organism: Gallus gallus (chicken)
Lineage: Eukaryota; Metazoa; Chordata; Aves; Galliformes; Phasianidae
Source: Ensembl
CAGUAGUCUACAUCUCGUUUUGUCCCCCGGAGGACGCGAUGCAUUUGUAUACGAAUAGUUCCCAUUGUUCUUCCCGCAGCAUCUGAUGCUCGCCGUGGCCUCGGCAGGAUUUUAUUUGCCAUCCUUACAUCCUUCUCCGAGGUCUGUCUUCAAUUAAUGGCUCGUUGUCUCCUCCAGACCCAGCACUGCAGGAUGAGGUCCGGGCACGUUUAGUUAUCUCUAUGUGUGUGUGGUCUGCACUGAGCCCUCCUAUGAACCGUAGACGUCCAGCG